RNAcentral lists this ribosomal RNA (440 nucleotides) under uncultured bacterium. RNAcentral describes it as "bacterial SSU rRNA". It matches the Rfam family "Bacterial small subunit ribosomal RNA", at positions 338 to 795 of the family's 1533-position model. The record is from RNAcentral.
CCUACGGGGGGCUGCAGUGGGGAAUAUUGCACAAUGGGGGAAACCCUGAUGCAGCGACGCCGCGUGAGUGAAGAAGUAUUUCGGUAUGUAAAGCUCUAUCAGCAGGGAAGAAAAUGACGGUACCUGACUAAGAAGCACCGGCUAAAUACGUGCCAGCAGCCGCGGUAAUACGUAUGGUGCAAGCGUUAUCCGGAUUUACUGGGUGUAAAGGGAGCGUAGACGGAUAGGCAAGUCUGGAGUGAAAACCCGGGGCUCAACCCCGGGACUGCUUUGGAAACUGUUUAUCUAGAGUGCUGGAGAGGUAAGUGGAAUUCCUAGUGUAGCGGUGAAAUGCGUAGAUAUUAGGAGGAACACCAGUGGCGAAGGCGGCUUACUGGACAGUAACUGACGUUGAGGCUCGAAAGCGUGGGGAGCAAACAGGAUUAGAUACCCCGGUAGUC